Molecule: ribosomal RNA, 253 nt
Filed under: uncultured bacterium
Lineage: Bacteria
Description: partial 16S ribosomal RNA
Rfam family: Bacterial small subunit ribosomal RNA
Source: RNAcentral
UACGUAGGGUCCGAGCGUUAAUCGGAAUUACUGGGCGUAAAGCGUGCGCAGGCGGUUUUGUAAGCCAGAUGUGAAAGCCCCGGGCUCAACCUGGGAAUGGCAUUUGGGACUGCAAGGCUAGAGUACGGCAGAGGGAGGUGGAAUUCCUGGUGUAGCAGUGAAAUGCGUAGAUAUCAGGAGGAACACCGAUGGCGAAGGCAGGUCUCUGGGCUGACACUGACGCUCAUGCACGAAAGCGUGGGGAGCAAACAGG